GCGGAGGGAUCAUUACAGAGUUGCAAAACUCCCACAAACCAUCGCGAAUCUUACCCGUACGGUUGCCUCGGCGCUGGCGGUCCGGAAAGGCCCUCGGGCCCUCCCGGAUCCUCGGGUCUCCCGCUCGCGGGAGGCUGCCCGCCGGAGUGCCGAAACUACAAACUCUUGAUAUUUUAUGUCUCUCUGAGUAAACUUUUAAAUAAGUCAAAACUUUCAACAACGGAUCUCUUGGUUCUGGCAUCGAUGAAGAACGCAGCGAAAUGCGAUAAGUAAUGUGAAUUGCAGAAUUCAGUGAAUCAUCGAAUCUUUGAACGCACAUUGCGCUCGCCAGUAUUCUGGCGAGCAUGCCUGUUCGAGCGUCAUUUCAACCAUCAAGCUCUGCUUGCGUUGGGGAUCCGCGGCUGCCCGCGGUCCCUCAAAAUCAGUGGCGGGCUCGCUAGUCACACCGAGCGUAGUAACUCUACAUCGCUAUGGUCGUGCGGCGGGUUCUUGCCGUAAAACCCCCCAUUUCUAAGGUUGACCUCGGAUCAGGUAGGAAUACCCGCUGAACUUAAGCAUAUCAAUAAGCGGAGGA
This 574-nucleotide ribosomal RNA is filed under the name Neurospora tetrasperma. Its description in RNAcentral is "eukaryotic LSU rRNA". The stretch from base 209 to 362 matches the Rfam family "5.8S ribosomal RNA". RNAcentral also lists the same sequence under 1 other name. The record is from RNAcentral. Lineage: Eukaryota; Fungi; Ascomycota; Sordariomycetes; Sordariales; Sordariaceae.